Molecule: ribosomal RNA, 465 nt
Filed under: uncultured bacterium
Lineage: Bacteria
Description: partial 16S ribosomal RNA
Rfam family: Bacterial small subunit ribosomal RNA
Source: RNAcentral
GACGAACGCUGGCGGCGUGCUUAACACAUGCAAGUCGAACGGAAAGGCCCUGCUUGCAGGGUACUCGAGUGGCGAACGGGUGAGUAACACGUGGGUGAUCUGCCCUGCACUUCGGGAUAAGCCUGGGAAACUGGGUCUAAUACCGGAUAGGAGCCAUUUUUAGUGUGAUGGUUGGAAAGUUUUUUCGGUGUAGGAUGAGCUCGCGGCCUAUCAGCUUGUUGGUGGGGUAAUGGCCUACCAAGGCGGCGACGGGUAGCCGGCCUGAGAGGGUGGACGGCCACAUUGGGACUGAGAUACGGCCCAGACUCCUACGGGAGGCAGCAGUGGGGAAUAUUGCACAAUGGGCGCAAGCCUGAUGCAGCGACGCCGCGUGGGGGAUGACGGCCUUCGGGUUGUAAACUCCUUUCGCUAGGGACGAAGCUUUUCGUGACGGUACCUAGAUAAGAAGCACCGGCUAACUACGUG